UACGUAUGGGGCAAGCGUUGUUCGGAGUUAUUGGGCGUAAAGGGCGUGUAGGCGGCUCAUCAAGUCUGGUGUGAAAUUGCGGGGCUUAACCCCGCAUAGGCGCUGGAAACUGGUGGGCUUGAGUUCCUGAGGGGAAGCUGGAAUUCCAGGUGUAGGAGUGAAAUCUGUAGAUAUCUGGAAGAACACCGGUGGCGAAGGCGAGCUUCUAUCAGAGGACUGACGCUGAGGCGCGAAAGCGUGGGGAGCAAACAGG
Molecule: ribosomal RNA, 253 nt
Filed under: uncultured bacterium
Lineage: Bacteria
Description: partial 16S ribosomal RNA
Rfam family: Bacterial small subunit ribosomal RNA
Source: RNAcentral